UACAUGGGGUGCAAACGUUGCUCGGAAUUAUUGGGCGUAAAGAGCUCGUAGGCGGUUCGUCACGUCGGCUGUGAAAUCCCGAGGCUCAACCUCGGGUCUGCAGUCGAUACGGGCGGACUUGAGUACUGCAGGGGAGACUGGAAUUCCUGGUGUAGCGGUGAAAUGCGCAGAUAUCAGGAGGAACACCGGUGGCGAAGGCGGGGUCUCUGGGCAGUAACUGACGCUGGAGGAGCG
This 234-nucleotide ribosomal RNA is filed under the name uncultured bacterium. RNAcentral describes it as "partial 16S ribosomal RNA". It matches the Rfam family "Bacterial small subunit ribosomal RNA", at positions 524 to 755 of the family's 1533-position model. The record is from RNAcentral.